This 253-nucleotide ribosomal RNA is filed under the name uncultured bacterium. RNAcentral's name for it is "partial 16S ribosomal RNA". It matches the Rfam family "Bacterial small subunit ribosomal RNA", at positions 524 to 776 of the family's 1533-position model. The record is from RNAcentral.
UACGGGGGGGGCAAGCGUUGUUCGGAAUUACUUGGCGUAAAGGGCUCGUAGGCGGCCAACUAAGUCAGACGUGAAAUCCCUAGGCUCAACCUAGGAACUGCGUCUGAUACUGGAUGGCUUGAAUCCGGGAGAGGGAUGCAGAAUUCCAGGUGUAGCGGUGAAAUGCGUAGAUAUCUGGAGGAAUACCGGUGGCGAAGGCGGCAUCCUGGACCGGCAUUGACGCUGAGGAGCGAAAGCCAGGGGAGCAAACGGG